AUACGGAGGGUGCAAGCGUUACUCGGAAUCACUGGGCGUAAAGCGCGCGCAGGCGGUCUUUUAAGUUGGAUGUGAAAGCCUACGGCUCAACCGUAGAACUGCAUCCAAAACUAUUAGACUAGAGUGUGGGAGAGGAAGAUGGAAUUAGUUGUGUAGGGGUAAAAUCCGUAGAGAUAACUAGGAAUACCAAAAGCGAAGGCAAUCUUCUGGAACACUACUGACGCUGAGGCGCGAAAGCGUGGGGAGCAAGCAGGAUUAGAAACCCCGGUAGUCC
This 274-nucleotide ribosomal RNA is filed under the name uncultured bacterium. Its description in RNAcentral is "partial 16S ribosomal RNA". It matches the Rfam family "Bacterial small subunit ribosomal RNA", at positions 523 to 796 of the family's 1533-position model. The record is from RNAcentral.